Molecule: ribosomal RNA, 462 nt
Filed under: Alcaligenes faecalis
Lineage: Bacteria; Pseudomonadati; Pseudomonadota; Betaproteobacteria; Burkholderiales; Alcaligenaceae
Description: bacterial SSU rRNA
Rfam family: Bacterial small subunit ribosomal RNA
Source: RNAcentral
AUUGAACGCUAGCGGGAUGCUUUACACAUGCAAGUCGAACGGCAGCGCGAGAGAGCUUGCUCUCUUGGCGGCGAGUGGCGGACGGGUGAGUAAUAUAUCGGAACGUGCCCAGUAGCGGGGGAUAACUACUCGAAAGAGUGGCUAAUACCGCAUACGCCCUACGGGGGAAAGGGGGGGAUCGCAAGACCUCUCACUAUUGGAGCGGCCGAUAUCGGAUUAGCUAGUUGGUGGGGUAAAGGCUCACCAAGGCAACGAUCCGUAGCUGGUUUGAGAGGACGACCAGCCACACUGGGACUGAGACACGGCCCAGACUCCUACGGGAGGCAGCAGUGGGGAAUUUUGGACAAUGGGGGAAACCCUGAUCCAGCCAUCCCGCGUGUAUGAUGAAGGCCUUCGGGUUGUAAAGUACUUUUGGCAGAGAAGAAAAGGUAUCUCCUAAUACGAGGUACUGCUGACGGUAUC